UUUCCGUAGGUGAACCUGCGGAAGGAUCAUUGCCGUAUGAAACGAAACGCGAUCGAGUUUCAGCAGCCGCGCCGCGACCCGGCGCGCGCUCGUUCUCCGAUCCGUGUCCACACACACCGAGUGCACCCUGUGAGGGACCGCGAGGUCCCCCGCGCUUUACACGUACGAACGCCUGUUUUAAACGCAUGUCGAAUCCGUGACGGAAACGUCUACGUAAACACAACUUUCAACAACGGAUCUCUUGGCUUUCGCAUCGAUGAAGAACGCAGC
Molecule: unclassified non-coding RNA, 270 nt
Filed under: uncultured fungus
Lineage: Eukaryota; Fungi
Description: sequence contains ITS1, 5.8S rRNA gene
Rfam family: 5.8S ribosomal RNA (bases 222-270)
Source: RNAcentral